UUGGGCGUAAGGGCUCGCAGGCGGUUUCUUAAGUCUGAUGUGAAAGCCCCCGGCUCAACCGGGGAGGGUCAUUGGAAACUGGGAAACUUGAGUGCAGAAGAGGAGAGUGGAAUUCCACGUGUAGCGGUGAAAUGCGUAGAGAUGUGGAGGAACACCAGUGGCGAAGGCGACUCUCUGGUCUGUAACUGACGCUGAGGAGCGAAAGCGUGGGGAGCGAACAGGAUUAGAUACCCUGGUAGUCCACGCCGUAAACGAUGAGUGCUAAGUGUUAGGGGGUUUCCGCCCCU
Molecule: ribosomal RNA, 287 nt
Filed under: Bacillus sp. (in: firmicutes)
Lineage: Bacteria; Bacillati; Bacillota; Bacilli; Caryophanales; Bacillaceae
Description: Bacillus sp. (in: Bacteria) partial 16S ribosomal RNA
Rfam family: Bacterial small subunit ribosomal RNA
Source: RNAcentral